Molecule: ribosomal RNA, 433 nt
Filed under: uncultured euryarchaeote
Lineage: Archaea; Methanobacteriati; Methanobacteriota
Description: partial 16S ribosomal RNA
Rfam family: Archaeal small subunit ribosomal RNA (bases 1-382)
Source: RNAcentral
UUGGGCCGCCGGCCCCCACCAUUACCCACCAAAAACAACGGUCAGUCCCCCGUCCGCAAUCUGUCACUGCUCAGUAACCCUUACUCAUCAGUAACACGUGGCCAAGAUACCCUGUGGACGGGAAUACUCUCGGGAAACUGAGGCUAAUCCCCGAUAACGCUUUGCUCCUGGAAGGGGCAAAGCCGGAAACGCUCCGGCGCCACACGAUGCGGGUGCGGUCGAUUACGUAGACGGUGGGGGAACGGCCCCCCCCGACCAUAAUCGCUACGGGGUGUAAGAGCAAGAGGCCGGAGACAGAAUCAGAGACAAGAGUCCGCGGCUCACGGGGGGCAGCAGGCGCGAAAACUUUACACAGUACGAAAAAGCGAUAAGGGGGCUCCGAGAGGAAGGCACAGAGACGUCACUUCGUCACCGUAAGGAGGAGCGCCGAAAA